GACUGACUGAGACAAAAACAUCUUAUGAAAAGGAGAUCCAGAAGAUCAGAUCUGAUUUAGAAGAAAAAGAAGAACAACUGAAAUCAGCCACUGACAAAGUCACUGAGACAAAAACAUCUUAUGAAAAGGAGAUCCAGAAGAUGAGAUCUACUUUAAGCCAGAAAGAGGAAAAAGUGAAAUCACUAACUCAAAGUUUGUCAUACAUGGAUAAGAACCUCAUAGAGGCAAAAGCUGCGCUGAGACGAAAACAACAAGAACUCACUUCCUUCAAAGACAGAAUGGCAGGACAGCUCUUUGUUUCCAAACCUACUGCAGAAACUGAUGACCUUCACAAGCAGAAAUUAGAGGAAACAAU
Molecule: long non-coding RNA, 355 nt
Organism: Poecilia latipinna (sailfin molly)
Lineage: Eukaryota; Metazoa; Chordata; Actinopteri; Cyprinodontiformes; Poeciliidae
Exons: 7
Source: RefSeq, a predicted model, not a curated record